UACAGAGGGUGCGAGCGUUAAUCGGAGUUACUGGGCGUAAAGGGCGCGUAGGCGGAUGAUUAAGUGAAAUGUGAAAUCCCUGGGCUUAACCUAGGAACUGCAUGUCAUACUGGUUGUCUAGAGUAUUGUAGAGGGUAGUGGAAUUUCCGGUGUAGCGGUGAAAUGCGUAGAGAUCGGAAGGAACACCAGUGGCGAAGGCGGCUACCUGGACAAAUACUGACGCUGAGGCGCGAAAGCGUGGGGAGCAAACAGG
Molecule: ribosomal RNA, 253 nt
Filed under: uncultured Methylococcus sp.
Lineage: Bacteria; Pseudomonadati; Pseudomonadota; Gammaproteobacteria; Methylococcales; Methylococcaceae
Description: partial 16S ribosomal RNA
Rfam family: Bacterial small subunit ribosomal RNA
Source: RNAcentral